RNAcentral lists this ribosomal RNA (472 nucleotides) under uncultured organism. Its description in RNAcentral is "partial 16S ribosomal RNA". It matches the Rfam family "Bacterial small subunit ribosomal RNA", at positions 334 to 797 of the family's 1533-position model. The record is from RNAcentral.
CACUCCUGCGGGAGGCAGCAGUGGGGAAUAUUGCACAAUGGGCGCAAGCCUGAUGCAGCCAUGCCGCGUGUGUGAAGAAGGCCUUCGGGUUGUAAAGCACUUUCAGCGGGGAGGAAGGCGAUACGGUUAAUAACCGUGUUGAUUGACGUUACCCGCAGAAGAAGCACCGGCUAACUCCGUGCCAGCAGCCGCGGUAAUACGGAGGGUGCAAGCGUUAAUCGGAAUUACUGGGCGUAAAGCGCACGCAGGCGGUCUGUCAAGUCGGAUGUGAAAUCCCCGGGCUCAACCUGGGAACUGCAUUCGAAACUGGCAGGCUUGAGUCUUGUAGAGGGGGGUAGAAUUCCAGGUGUAGCGGUGAAAUGCGUAGAGAUCUGGAGGAAUACCGGUGGCGAAGGCGGCCCCCUGGACAAAGACUGACGCUCAGGUGCGAAAGCGUGGGGAGCAAACAGGAUUAGAAACCCUUGUAGUCCCA